Molecule: unclassified non-coding RNA, 591 nt
Filed under: uncultured Inocybe
Lineage: Eukaryota; Fungi; Basidiomycota; Agaricomycetes; Agaricales; Cortinariaceae
Description: sequence contains ITS1, 5.8S rRNA gene, ITS2
Rfam family: 5.8S ribosomal RNA (bases 244-397)
Source: RNAcentral
GGAAGGAUCAUUAUCGAAUAACUUGAACAGGCUGUUGCUGGCUCUCUCUUUGAGUACGUGCACGCUUGUCAUCUUUAUUUUCUCCAAUUGUGCACAUAUUGUAGACCUGGUUUGUCGAAUCUGUUCGAUUUUGGGAACUGCUGUGCCCUCGAGGUCGGCUUUUCCUUGUAAUUUUCAGGUCUAUGUCAUUUUUCAUAAACUAUUGAAUGUGUUUAGAAUGUUGAAUAUAUUAUAUAUAUGUACAACUUUCAGCAACGGAUCUCUUGGCUCUCGCAUCGAUGAAGAACGCAGCGAAAUGCGAUAAGUAAUGUGAAUUGCAGAAUUCAGUGAAUCAUCGAAUCUUUGAACGCAUCUUGCGCUCCUUGGUAUUCCGAGGAGCAUGCCUGUUUGAGUGUCAUUUCAAGCUCUCAACCGCAACCAAUUCUUGGCUGUGGCUUGGAUGUGGGGGGAUUUCUUUUUGCAGGCCUGAAUUUUUAAAUGAUGGUCUGCUCCCCUGAAACGCAUUAGUGGUUUUUUACUUACUACUGUUGGGUGUGAUAAAUUAUCUAUGCCCCUCAGGUGAUGCUGUGCAAAAAAACCGCUUCCAACAAA